AUUGGCACCCUUGUGGCCAGGCCUGCUCCCAGAGCAGAAUCUGGAUCUAGAGGAGGGGGCAACCCCGUCCCUACUCUCCAAGGGCAGGACACACACACACACACACACACACACACACACACACACGAGCACUCGACACAGGCGAAGAAAACGCAUAAACAAAUGCAGAGUCAUCACCAGCUGCAGGAGCUUUACGCGGCCAUGCCAGGGGCGGACAGAACGAGCAGAGAACCGGAGGCGCUGAGUCCAAACAGCUGUGUGCUGUGCUCAGGAGCUAACGCCAAGGGGAAAGAUUCACCCUGAGCUAACAUCUGCUGCAAAUCCUCCUCUUUUUGCUGAAGAAGACUGGCCCUGAGCUAACAUCCGUGCCCAUCUUCCUCUACUUUCUAUGUGGGACGCCUGCCAAGCAGUGCCAUGUCCGCACCCGGGAUCCGAACUGGCAAACCCCAGGCUGUCAAAGCAGAACAUGCGCACUGUACUGCUGCGCCACUGGGCCGGCCCCAAAAGAGCACUGAAUUUUAACCACUAGGCCAUCAUGACUGGCUCCUUUUUUUUUUCAAGCCAGGAAAUGGACAUUGGUACAAUCCACAGACAUUCAGAUUUCACCAGUUUUACAUGGGGGUGUGUGUGUGUAGUUUCAUGCAAUUUUAUCACGCAUAGAUUCGUGUAACCACCUCUAUAAUCAAGACAGAGAACUACUCCAUUUGCAGAGAUCCCUCUGCAGUCACACAUACCCCUCUGCUCGUCCUUAACCACCCCUCCUCCCCAACCCCUGCCAGCCACUAAUCUGCUCUCCAUCUGUAUAACUAUGUCAUUUUGAGAAUGUCACAUAAAUGGAAUCAUGCAGUAUGUGCCCUUUCGAAGCUGACUUUUUUC
RNAcentral lists this long non-coding RNA (876 nucleotides) under Equus caballus (horse). RNAcentral's name for it is "lncRNA (ENSECAG00000044803.1)". Lineage: Eukaryota; Metazoa; Chordata; Mammalia; Perissodactyla; Equidae. The record is from RNAcentral.